AUGUCUUCCGCAAGCUCCUGCGCCACCUCGCGGAUGCAGAGCCAGGCGUGUGUGGAGAUUCCUAUCUUCGUCUGUCCGCGGUGCCGGGCGAGCGUUGAUCGGAGGGUUUCAACACCGAGGAACCACCAUCGUCCAUUCUACGUGUGCAGCGAGAAUGGGGUGGCAUGCUUCUUUCUUUGGGUCGAUGCUCUAGCCAAGACUAUGAUAAAUGAACUGCAAGAAGAGCAUGACAAAUGGUUGCGCAUGCUGCCCCAAACCGCAAUGGCCGCAGCACGAGCUCCGGAAGAAGAGAUGGAGGGGGCACGCACUGACAGAGAGCUAGCUGUUGAGCUUAGGAUGUUGAAUAAGAAGGUUAGGAAGCUUGAAGAUCAAGCACUACCAAUACCCAUUUGCAAAUACUUUUGGGCAUUUGUAGGUAUGGUAAUCACAUUGGUUGUAAUGUUGAAAAUGUAUGGAAAGGCAUGA
RNAcentral lists this ribosomal RNA (465 nucleotides) under Triticum aestivum (bread wheat). RNAcentral describes it as "partial small subunit ribosomal RNA". The record is from RNAcentral. Lineage: Eukaryota; Viridiplantae; Streptophyta; Magnoliopsida; Poales; Poaceae.